UACGGAGGGUGCAAGCGUUAUCCGGAUUCACUGGGUUUAAAGGGUGCGUAGGAGGGCAGGUAAGUCAGUGGUGAAAUCUCCGAGCUUAACUUGGAACUGCCGUUGAUACUAUCUGUCUUGAAUAUUGUGGAGGUGAGCGGAAUAUGUCAUGUAGCGGUGAAAUGCUUAGAUAUGACAUAGAACACCAAUUGCGAAGGCAGCUCGCUACACGAAGAUUGACUCUGAGGCACGAAAGCGUGGGGAUCAAACAGG
Molecule: ribosomal RNA, 252 nt
Filed under: uncultured bacterium
Lineage: Bacteria
Description: partial 16S ribosomal RNA
Rfam family: Bacterial small subunit ribosomal RNA
Source: RNAcentral